CCUUUGACGUUAGCGGCGGACGGGUGAGUAACACGUGGGUAACCUACCUAUAAGACUGGGAUAACUUCGGGAAACCGGAGCUAAUACCGGAUAAUAUUCGAACCGCAUGGUUCGAUAGUGAAAGGCGGUUUUGCUAUCACUUAUAGAUGGACCCGCGCCGUAUUAGCUAGUUGGUAAGGUAACGGCUUACCAAGGCGACGAUACGUAGCCGACCUGAGAGGGUGAUCGGCCACACUGGAACUGAGACACGGUCCAGACUCCUACGGGAGGCAGCAGUC
Molecule: ribosomal RNA, 278 nt
Filed under: uncultured Staphylococcus sp.
Lineage: Bacteria; Bacillati; Bacillota; Bacilli; Caryophanales; Staphylococcaceae
Description: partial 16S ribosomal RNA
Rfam family: Bacterial small subunit ribosomal RNA
Source: RNAcentral